UGGGGAAUAUUGGACAAUGGGGGCAACCCUGACCCAGCAACGCCGCGUGAAGGAUGAAGUAUUUCGGUAUGUAAACUUCGAAAGAAUAGGAAGAAUAAAUGACGGUACUAUUUAUAAGGUCCGGCUAACUACGUGCCAGCAGCCGCGGUAAUACGUAGGGACCAAGCGUUGUUCGGAUUUACUGGGCGUAAAGGGCGCGUAGGCGGCAAUUCAAGUCAUCUGUGAAAUCUCCGGGCUUAACUCGGAACGGUCAGAUGAUACUGCUUUGCUAGAGUGCAGAAGGGGCAAUCGGAAUUCUUGGUGUAGCGGUGAAAUGCGUAGAUAUCAAGAGGAACACCUGAGGUGAAGACGGGUUGCUGGGCUGACACUGACGCUGAGGCGCGAAAGCCAGGGGAGCAAACGGGAUUAGAUACCCGGGUAGUCCCUGAGCGGGCUGGCAAGGCGCAU
RNAcentral lists this ribosomal RNA (447 nucleotides) under uncultured bacterium. Its description in RNAcentral is "bacterial SSU rRNA". It matches the Rfam family "Bacterial small subunit ribosomal RNA", at positions 355 to 825 of the family's 1533-position model. The record is from RNAcentral.